RNAcentral lists this small nucleolar RNA (106 nucleotides) under Citrus sinensis (sweet orange). RNAcentral's name for it is "Plant small nucleolar RNA R71". It matches the Rfam family "Plant small nucleolar RNA R71". Rfam says of the family: R71 is a member of the C/D box family of snoRNAs containing the C (UGAUGA) and D (CUGA) box motifs. Multiple nearly identical copies of this snoRNA have been identified in Arabidopsis, and it is thought to function as a 2'-O-ribose methylation guide for 18S ribosomal RNA. Lineage: Eukaryota; Viridiplantae; Streptophyta; Magnoliopsida; Sapindales; Rutaceae. The record is from Rfam by way of RNAcentral. RNAcentral also lists the same sequence under 1 other name.
AUACCAUGAUAAGGACAUCUCUUAAAUAACUUUUUGAAUCUUUCCCAUGCAUCAUACAACUUUUAUCUUCAAGCUGAUGGAAAGAAGUGAUCUUAUUGCUCAAUUU